AACGAACGCUGGCGGCAGGCCUAACACAUGCAAGUCGAGCGAGACCUUCGGGUCUAGCGGCGGACGGGUGAGUAACGAGUGGGAACGUGCCCUUUUCUGCGAUACAGCCUCGGGUAACUGAGCGUAAUAACGCAUACGCUCUUACGGGGUAAGAUUGAUCGGAAAAGGAUCGGCCCGCGUUAGAUUAGGUGGUUGGUGGGGUACUGGCGUACCAAGACUACGUUCCAUAGCUGGUUGGAGAAGAGGACCAGCCACACUUGCACUGAGACACGGCCGAGACUCCGACGGGAGGGAGCAGUGGAGAAUAUUAGACAAGGGAGGCAACCGUAGUCUAGCCAUGCCGCGGGAGAGAGGAAGGCCGUAGGAUUGUAAAUCCCGCUGAGCUGAAAAGAUAAUGACGGUACCUGCAGAAGAAGCCCCGGCUAACUCCGUG
This 433-nucleotide ribosomal RNA is filed under the name uncultured bacterium. Its description in RNAcentral is "partial 16S ribosomal RNA". It matches the Rfam family "Bacterial small subunit ribosomal RNA", at positions 29 to 507 of the family's 1533-position model. The record is from RNAcentral.